GAUGAAGAACGCAGCGAAAUGCGAUAAGUAGUGUGAAUUGCAGAAUUCAGUGAAUCAUCGAAUCUUUGAACGCACAUUGCGCCCCUUGGUAUUCCAUGGGGCAUGCCUGUUCGAGCGUCAUUUGUACCUUCAAGCUUUGCUUGGUGUUGGGUGUUUGUCUCGCCUUUGCGUGUAGACUCGCCUUAAAAUAAUUGGCAGCCGGCGUAUUGAUUUCAGAGCGCAGUACAUCUCGCGCUUUGCACUCAUAACGACAGCGUCCAAAAGUACAUUUUACACUCUUGACCUCGGAUCAGGUAGGGAUACCCGCUGAACUUAAGCAUAUCAAUAAGCGGAGGA
Molecule: unclassified non-coding RNA, 336 nt
Filed under: soil metagenome
Description: partial contains 5.8S ribosomal RNA, internal transcribed spacer 2, and large subunit ribosomal RNA
Rfam family: 5.8S ribosomal RNA (bases 1-120)
Source: RNAcentral